RNAcentral lists this ribosomal RNA (799 nucleotides) under delta proteobacterium SCGC AAA003-G02. RNAcentral's name for it is "SSU rRNA". It matches the Rfam family "Bacterial small subunit ribosomal RNA", at positions 56 to 873 of the family's 1533-position model. Lineage: Bacteria; Deltaproteobacteria. The record is from RNAcentral.
UGCAGUCGACGAGAAGUUCCUUCGGGAGCAAUUAAAGUGGCGCACGGGUGAGUAACGCGUAGACAAUCUGCCCUUCAGUCUGGGACAACUUUUCGAAAGGAGAGCUAAUACCGGAUAACAAUGCAUGACACAAGUUGUAUAUUUGAAAGCUUUAUGUGCUGAAGGAGGGGUCUGCGUCCCAUUAGCUAGUUGGUAAGGUAAAGGCUUACCAAGGCAACGAUGGGUAGCGGGUUUGAGAGGACGAUCCGCCACACUGGAACUGAGACACGGUCCAGACUCCUACGGGAGGCAGCAGUGGGGAAUAUUGCACAAUGGAGGCAACUCUGAUGCAGCAAUGUCGCGUGAGUGAAGAAGGCCCUUGGGUCGUAAAGCUCUUUUAUGGGGGAAGAUGAUGACGGUACCCCAAGAAUAAGCACCGGCUAACUAUGUGCCAGCAGCCGCGGUAAUACAUAGGGUGCGAGCGUUGUUCGGAAUUACUGGGCGUAAAGGGCGCGCAGGCGGAAUAGUAAGUCGGAGGUGAAAGCCCGGGGCUCAACCCCGGAGGGUCUUUCGAAACUACUAAUCUAGAGAGGGUCAGGGGCCGGCAGAAUUCCUGGUGUAGAGGUGAAAUUCGUAGAUAUCAGGAGGAAUACCGGUGGCGAAGGCGGCCGGCUGGGGCCACUCUGACGCUGAGGCGCGAAAGCGUGGGGAGCAAACAGGAUUAGAUACCCUGGUAGUCCACGCCGUAAACGAUGAGCACUGGACGUCCGGAGGGUUCGACCCUUCUGGGUGUCUCAGCUAACGCAUUAAGUGCUCCGCC